This 141-nucleotide transfer RNA is filed under the name Giesbergeria sp. Its description in RNAcentral is "tRNA-His". Lineage: Bacteria; Pseudomonadati; Pseudomonadota; Betaproteobacteria; Burkholderiales; Comamonadaceae. The record is from RNAcentral.
GCGGCUGUUCAUUCAUCCAGUGGGAAUAGCACAACCUGUUGAUUUGCAUUGAUUGUAUCGCUUAAAUCAACACAAUGAAAUACAAAAAAGUCAGGAUUGUGAUUCCUGUUGUCGUGGGUUCGAGCCCCAUCAGCCACCCCA